AUUGAACGCUGGCGGAAUGCUUUACACAUGCAAGUCGAACGGCAGCACGGGAGCUUGCUCCUGGUGGCGAGUGGCGAACGGGUGAGUAAUAUAUCGGAACGUAUCCAAUAAUGGGGGAUAACUAGUCGAACGAUUAGCUAAUACCGCAUACGCUCUGAGGGUGAAAGCUAGGGACCGCAAGGCCGGGCGUUAAUGGUGCGGUCGAUAUCUGAUUAGCUAGUUGGUGAGGUAAAGGCUCACCAAGGCGAAGAUCAGUAGCCGGUCUGAGAGGGCGACCAGCCACACUGGAACUGAGACACGGUCCAGACUCCUACGGGAGGCAGCAGUGGGGAAUUUUGGACAAUGGGCGCAAGCCUGAUCCAGCCAUUCCGCGUGAGUGAAGAAGGCCUUCGGGUUGUAAAGCUCUUUCGCAAGGGAAGAAAACUUAUCCUCUAACAUAGGAUGAGGUUGACGGUACCUUGAUAAGAAGCACCGGCUAACUACGUGCCAGCCGCCGCAGUAA
This 502-nucleotide ribosomal RNA is filed under the name uncultured bacterium. RNAcentral's name for it is "partial 16S ribosomal RNA". It matches the Rfam family "Bacterial small subunit ribosomal RNA", at positions 30 to 523 of the family's 1533-position model. The record is from RNAcentral.